Molecule: long non-coding RNA, 505 nt
Organism: Pelobates fuscus (common spadefoot toad)
Lineage: Eukaryota; Metazoa; Chordata; Amphibia; Anura; Pelobatidae
Exons: 2
Source: RefSeq, a predicted model, not a curated record
UGUAAUUAACCUUCUUUGAUACACUGCUGAAAUCACAGAAGGCUUUAGUAAAGUGCAUCACUAUAUAUUAAAACUGUACUUUUUUUCUGACUCGUAUAACCUACUGGCAUAGCUACAGUAUCUAAUGUGUAUACUAUGAUGUUUACUAGCUGUAUUCAUGUUGUCAUUAGAGUCGACUUCUCUUUUUGUAUUAAUGUUUAUUGCUCCACUAUUAAUGUUUUAAAGGAACACUCCAAACACAUAAAGCACUUUAGUUCUCUGACAUGGGUUAUGUGUGAAGAGUGUGGCCUCGUUUUUUGGGUAGCUUCCAUACCUGCCAAGUGUAUCUAGUUAAGAGGGACAGUCCUGAUUUUUGGCCAAAAUGCCUCUGUCCAAUUCUAUCCUAAUGUCCCACUUUUGUAAAAGCUCCAUAUUAUUCAUGUGUCUGAAUAUAUAGCAUUGCCCUGUAGCAAUAAUACUCACAGCAACAAUAAAUAUGAUUAGAAAUCAGUCUGUAUAAAUCAAA